GAUGAACGCUAGCUACAGGCUUAACACAUGCAAGUCGAGGGGAAACGAUGAGAGAGCUUGCUCUCUCAGGCGUCGACCGGCGCACGGGUGAGUAACACGUAUCCAACCUGCCUUUUCCAGGGAAUAACCUUGCGAAAGUAAGACUAAUGCCCUAUGUGUCCUCCGACGGCAUCAGACGAGGACGAAAGAUUUAUCGGAAGAGGAUGGGGAUGCGCCUGAUUAGGCAGUUGGCGGGGCAACGGCCCACCAAACCGACGAUCAGUAGGGGUUCUGAGAGGAAGGUCCCCCACAUUGGAACUGAGACACGGUCCAAACUCCUACGGGAGGCAGCAGUGAGGAAUAUUGGUCAAUGGGCGAGAGCCUGAACCAGCCAAGUAGCGUGCAGGAAGACGGCCCUAUGGGUUGUAAACUGCUUUUAUGCGGGGAUAAAGCGGGCGACGUGUCGCCCCUUGCAGGUACCGCAUGAAUAAGGACCGGCUAAUUCCGUG
Molecule: ribosomal RNA, 488 nt
Filed under: uncultured bacterium
Lineage: Bacteria
Description: bacterial SSU rRNA
Rfam family: Bacterial small subunit ribosomal RNA
Source: RNAcentral